Long non-coding RNA from Myotis lucifugus (little brown bat), 682 nucleotides. RefSeq lists it as uncharacterized. The transcript is spliced from 5 exons. The record is from RefSeq and is a predicted model, not a curated record. Lineage: Eukaryota; Metazoa; Chordata; Mammalia; Chiroptera; Vespertilionidae.
AUAAGCCUACGACUAGGACUCAUCAUUUCAGCUGAUCAUUCACGGCACAGCUCUUUCCUUGGAUCAACUGCUGUUUGGACUACUGUGGAAGUCUGGUGAAAUUCUCAGCUCACCCAUGCCCUGACUGGAGAGGUAACCAACACUUUGGACAACAUCACCAAAGCAGUCAACAUCAUAACUUCGAAAACCUCAGUGAAAGUUUCCUUGGAGGUUCCACCAAGAUACAGUUUCCACUGGUCGUGAGCAUGGACUCCAGUCUUCAUCCAGGUGUGGAAGCCCUUGAGCUUUGCUGCUCACCUCUUGUCGAGCCCACAACAAUGUGGAUAUUUCAUUUAUUGGAAGAGACAUCAUAGGAAAACUGCUGCUCUUGACUUCAUUGGAAAGGACCUUAUCAGAUCUCUGCGUGUGCCUGCUGAGUACUACUUCCUUCGUGACCAAAACGUCCAGCUCUGUUUGCUUCAGACUCUGCCAGAUGAAUCCUAUGCAAGAUGCCCAGACUUCAAAAUUCUACCACAACUGAGCUGUGCUGUUCCCUUUCAACAUACGAUUUAACUUAUUUUACAGAAACAACACCAACAAAAGUCUCAGAAAGACUAUUAAUCAGAUCCUGCUUCGUCUUGCUCAGGAGUUUUAUACUCGUCUCUUAGUUGUUUAGGAACCUAUUGUAUUCAUUAAUAUGGAA